GGCUGAUUGGCUCAGUUGGUUAGAGCAUGGUGUUGAUAAUGCCAAGGUCACAGGAUUGAUCCCAUUUUAGGACA
Non-coding RNA from Podarcis lilfordi (Lilford's wall lizard), 74 nucleotides. NCBI's taxonomy places the organism in Eukaryota, Metazoa, Chordata, Lepidosauria, Squamata, Lacertidae. The record is from the annotation of a GenBank genome assembly.